RNAcentral lists this ribosomal RNA (406 nucleotides) under uncultured bacterium. Its description in RNAcentral is "partial 16S ribosomal RNA". It matches the Rfam family "Bacterial small subunit ribosomal RNA", at positions 30 to 526 of the family's 1533-position model. The record is from RNAcentral.
AUUGAACGCUGGCGGCAGGCCUCACACAUGCAAGUCGAACGCGUGGCGGACGGGUGAGUAAUGUCUGGGACACUGCCUGAUGGAGGGGGAUAACUACUGGAAACGGUAUCUAAUACCGCAUACCCUCAGAUGUGCCCAUAUGGGAUUAGCUAGUUGGUGGGGUAACGGCGCACCAAGGCGACGAUCCCUAGCUGGUCUGAGAGGAUGACCAGCCACACUGGAACUGAGACACGGUCCAGACUCCUACGGGAGGCAGCAGUGGGGAAUAUUGCACAAUGGGCGCAAGCCUGAUGCAGCCAUGCCGCGUGUAUGAAGAAGGCCUUAGGGUUGUAAAGUACUUUCAGCGGGGAGGCGUUACCCGCAGAAGAAGCACCGGCUAACUCCGUGCCAGCAGCCGCGGUAAUUC